Molecule: RNA transcript, 3342 nt
Organism: Gigantopelta aegis
Lineage: Eukaryota; Metazoa; Mollusca; Gastropoda; Neomphalida; Peltospiridae
Exons: 8
Source: RefSeq, a predicted model, not a curated record
CGAAUAGAUACGAAGCUCUUCGAUUAAAAACAUGACGUCAUCACAUUGUCAUAAUGUUGCGUUCGCUAAAUACUCUGCAGAAUGACCAUGAACACCGUUGUACAGGGGAUAAAAAACAAAAUCAAAGAUGCUACUGAAUCUGGCUGGGCACAUCACAGCUAUCUGCUAUUAUUCAUUAUAGCAUUAUCUGGACUGUCAAUUGUGUUUAUCCAGCAAGUGGUCUUUUGUUGUAUCCUCUGGCGAAACAAAAGGAAGUACAAAAAGGCGAAGAAGCGAUAUCUCACGACACAAACGAACGAAAAGGGUCAGGCCACAAGAGAUGAAAAGCGGCCAGGAAAGUCCAAAAGGAAAUCAAGCUCAGACGACGCUUUUGUGGGAUCAUCAGCACAAGCACCGUCCCCACCCCCUCCUGCUGCAUCGUCGCCGGCCCCAGUGUCUGCGCCGCCGUCAGUCCCAGUGUCUGCGCCGUCUCCAGUCCCAAUCUCUGCACCACCACCGGUGGCAGUGUCUGCACCAGCAUCAAUGAUGGGUGUUCCUUCUUUCCCUGUUCAGCCAGAACCAGCAGUUACCAGAUCAGCUCCAGGACCUCAGCCUAUUUCUCCCGACGAUGCCAUAAAAGCCGCUGUCAUGAAGAGACGGCAAAUGAUAGACUCGAAUAAUUCACGCAAAUUCAUACAUUCAUGGCCGGAUUGUAAUUAUUCAUGCACGGAUUGCAGUAAUUCGCAUCCGGAUUGUAAUUAUUCACGGCCGGAUUGUAAUAAUUCGCGUCCGCAGUGCAAUUAUUCAAAGCCGGAUUGUAAUAAUUCGCGUCCGGAUUGCAAUUAUUCACGGCCGGAUUGUAAUAAUUCGCGUCCGGAGUGUAAUUAUUUACGGCCGGGUUGUAAUAAUUCGUGUCCGGGGUGCAAUUAUUCACGGCCGGAUUGUAAUAAUUCACGUCCGCAGUGCAGUUAUUCACUUCCGGAUUGUAAAAAUUCGCGUCCGCAGUGCAAUUAUUCACUGCCGGAUUGUAAAAAUUCGCGUCCGGAGUGUAAUUAUUCACGGCCGGAUUGUAAUAAUUUUCGCCCAAAAUGUACCAAUUCAUUUCCGGAUUUUAAAAGGUCACGCCCGGAAUAUAAUAUUUCACGGCCCGGUUGUACUAACUCAUGCCCGGAGUUUAAUCACUCAUGUUCGGAUUGUAAUUGUUCACGUUCAGACUGUGAUAGUUCACGCCUGGACUGUAACCGUCCCUGUCCUAACUGCGACUGUUCAAAUCCAGAUGUCAGUGAUUCACCUAAGAACUAUCACAAUUCAUGUUCACAGUGUAAUGACUCGCGUUCACACAGUAAUUAUUUACGUUCGGGCUAUCGUAAUGUACGCUCAAGUUGUAAUCGUUCGUAUCCCGGUUGUAAUAACUCGCGUGUGGACCGUGAUAAUUCAUGUCCGGUCUGUAACCAUACUCAGCCGGACUGUAACCAGUCUCGUCAGAACUAUAACCAUUGUCGUCAAGAUAGUAAUCAUUCUCAAAAGGAUUACAAUCAUUCUCCUCAGGACUGUAACCAUUCUCGUCAGGAUUAUAACCAUUCUCGUCAGGAUUAUAACUGUUCUUGGCAGGAAAACAACCAUGCACCUCAGGAUAGAAACCAUCCACGUCAUGACAAUAAUCAUUAUAAUCAGGAUUGUAACCAUUAUCAUCAGGAUUGUAACCAUUCUCGUAAGGACUGUAACCAUCAUCGUAAGGAUUGUAACUAUCCUCAUCAGGAUUGUAACCAUACUCGCCAGGAUGGUAAUUAUUCUUAUCAGGAUUGUAACCAUACUCGUCAGGCUUGUAACCAUCCUCAUCAGGAUUAUAACCUUUCACGUCAGGAUUGUAACCACUGUCGUCAGGAGAGUAACCAUCCUCGUCAGGAGAGUAACCAUCUUCGUCAGGAGAGUAACCAUCCUCGUCAGGAGAGUAACCAUUGUCGUCAGGAGAGUAACCAUUGUCGUCAGGAGAGUAACCAUCCUCGUCAGGAGAUUAACCAUCUUCGUCAGGAUAGUAACCAUCCUCGUCAGGAGAGUAAUCAUCUUCGUCAGGACAGUAACCAUCCUCGUCAGCAGAGUAAUCAUUGUCGUCAGGACAAUAACCAUUGUCGUCAGGAGAGUAACCAUCCUCGUCAGGAGAUUAACAGUUCGUCAGGAUAGUAACCAUCCUCGUCAGGAGAGUAAUCAUCUUCGUCAGGACAGUAACCAUCCUCGUCAGCAGAGUAAUCAUUGUCGUCAGGACAAUAACCAUUGUCGUCAGGACAGUAACCACCCUCAUCAGGACCGUAACCAUUCACGACAUGGCAGUAACCAAUCUCGUCCAGUCUCGUAUGGCCUCCCCCACUCUAUCUGCAGUUCAAUGUACCUUCAUAACAGUUGAACUUGCAGGAAAAUAACCAUAGAAACUGAAUGAAUCGUGUAAACACAAAAAGCCAUAGACGCAGAUUUGAUGCAGGUGUGGAGGUGGAUGCCCACCCCACAUCACUUUCAAAGAAGGGAAUUCCCGCGAGCUUUCAGUCUGAUAUACUAGCAUAUGUAAUUCCUAAGCAAGGGUAUUACCUGUUUUGUGGUUGCGUCAUUCACAUUCAGAUCACUUCUUCUGUUAAACGUUUCCAAGAGUGGAACUAAACAGUGCACAUUUAGCAUCUCUACGAAGGGCCACAAUGACAGGUCAACCACAUGCAUUGCAAGUUAGUGUCAGGAUUGGCAGCUGCGCUAGAUGUGCAGUAGCAAGCAGACAUAGGUCCAGAUGACAACCAGGUUCUUAUAACUCCCUUAAGACAAGCUAAGGAACCAUGCAACUAAAUGUCAAGAUGUAUCGAUGUCAAUAAGUGUUUCAUGAUUUCACUCGAGUGAUACAUGUAUCAAGGGAUGAAGUCUAUUUUAAUCGUCUUGGUGCUGACAAUUUUUAGCGUUUCAAUUACUGCCAGAUUUACUUACAUCGUAGGUGAAUGCCCAGGCGGCGUGGAGCCGGGGUCGGAGUGGUUUGAGCAGACGCCGUGUCGCAGAUGUCGCUGUGUGGAAAACGCCUAUGAGUGCGACGACUGUGAAAACGAUACUCCAUUGUUUCUACAGGACAACUGCUACCUCGUGAAAAAGAAGGCCGAUAACUCUGCAAAAUAUCCAAAGUGUUGCCAAACCCAUACCUCCAUUUGCAAAGGUGACAGCAACUUUGACCAGAUUGCCUUUGAAACCUUUAUUGGUACCUUACAACUGUGAAAAUAUCUUAAACUGGAUGAAGUUUGAUUAAUUUGUUGACCGCCAGGGUAUAUAUAUAUAUAUUCUGGAGAAUUGUGUCACAUUUGUUGAAGCAAUGAAUUAAACUCCCACAUAUUUGUUAAA